AAAGAAAGCACUGAGAGACAAAGAAAACCGUGAGAGAGAAUGAGAGAAACCAUGGCACCGUAAAACUUCUAGUUUCGAUUUCUUUAAAUCUGUAACUCUAAUAAAAAAAUUUAAUCUGGUAAAAGUGUUCAUAUCUUUCUUCUCUACACGUUGAUGUUAUUUUUGUUCGGUAGAAGUUGAUGGUGACGUAGUUUUCCUUCUCCUUGAAUCCGACCAAUUAGAAUUUUAGGAGGCACAGAUGAUUUCUGGCACUUUCCUUUUCAGCAGCUCGGUCAGAAAGGUUCUCCGGAGCUUUCGUUGAUCUUGAUUUCAUAAGGAGGUAGGGGGUUUUAUUUUAAAAUUAACUGUUUUAAAUUAUGAAUGCCACGGAAGUCUAGUGGAUAUUUGCAAAUAAUUUAUGAUUGCUUGGAAUGACUGAUUGAUUUUCUGAUUUUGAUGAAGUUGUUAAAAUUCUGAUUUUGUGUGAUUAUGAUGAAUUGGUUGAGUUGUGGCUGUGAAAGGUGAUUAAAUUAGUGUUACUUGUUAAACUGUAAUAUUAUGAGUUAAUUAUUGAAGAAAUUGUCGUACUGAUAAUUGUUGAAUGGAGUUGAAUUUGGGUUUGGUUUGGAAGUUAUGAAUCUGAGGGAGCCCGCAUGGGUGGUGAAGUUCAAUUUUUAAGAGAAGAUUCUGCCCAAUUUUAUGUAAAAGUAACCAAAAAAGUGGUUUUAUUUCGAAAAUCUGAUUUAUAAAUUUAUUUUGAAAUAUGACUUUAUAGUAGAAAACAUUUUAUUUACAUAUUUACUUAUAUUGAGAAAUGGGUUUUGUAUUGAAAGUUUGUUUUAUUAGUAAUAAAUUGAGAGUUAGAAAAGAUUUUGACAUUGGAACUAGUUGGAUUUUCAGAUUUAUAAAUGUUGUGGAUAUUGGAAUUAAUUUGAGUUAUUAGAAAUGAUUGAAAAGAGGUUGAAAAUGGUUCAGUUGGGACCCGAAAAGGGUGGCUAAGUCCGAGUUUUAGAGGAAGUGUUGCCAAAAUUUUAUAAAAUCUGAGGUUUUAUUUGAAAAGUUAUUUUAAAAGAUUUGGUUUUAGAAAAUUAAAUUAUUUGAUAUUUAUUUAGUUGAGAAAAGGUGUAUUCUAUUUUUUUUUAAACUCGAUUUAUUAAGAAAAACAUAAUGUUUCAAAUCCAAUUUUGUAAGGAGAGAUUUUGUUUUAAGUGUUAUUUUGAGCUUGAUGUUUUAAGAAAAGAAAUCUCUGCCACAGGAGAGUAGAGAACAAGGAUUUAAAGAAUAUAUUAACUUAAAGAGAUUGUCUGCCACAGGAGAGUAGAUGUGAUAUUAUUUGGACCUUAGUGCCAAAUGUAAAGUGGGGACGCCCACACACUGAGAACUGUUUUCCAGAUGUACGCUUAUUGAUUUGGAGAGUCACACUGUAUGCGGCCUAUCCGUACAACUUAUAAGCACACUGUAUGCAUCUGGAAAGCCAUAUCUGGGACUUGUGCCCGGGUAAUGUCGGGAGCGGGUAGGCAACCGACACAUGAGCUCAUGUCCUGCUUAGGAGAGACAUGCAUCAUAUUGACUGCGCAUUUGCAUUCAGUCUUGUUUUUCUUGUUAUAUUUUCUCUGUGAUUGUGCUGCUUGACUUGUUUGUCUUACUGCAAUUUGUUUGUGGGUUGAUCUGUUUCUUGUGUUAUUGUUUCUCUGUGAUUGGAAACUGAAGUUGUGAUUGAGAUUAGCUUAUGUUCGGAAAUUUAAAGAAGGUAAUAAGGUAAAAAUAAAAAGUAUUUUCAACGGUUUAACAAAAUGGUUUUAUUGAGUAAAGUUAGUUAUUUGUAUUUUAUUUCAUUACUUUUACGGCAUUCUUAUUCCCUACUGAGAACUAGUGGUUUGUUCUCACCCCAAAAUCUUUCACCCUUUCAGUGGCACAGGUUCGGAGACUUAGUUUGAAGCCGCGGGUGAUUAAGAGUUUUAUUUAAGUUAAAUUUAUGUGUUGAGUUGCUUUCAUAGAAUUCUCUCGCCCUUGUUAUUUAAGAUUUUAUUUUAUGCAGAGGGAUAGGAGUUAUAACUGAAUUUUAUUUGAAUUCUUCUGCAUGAUAUUUAUUAUUAUUAAUAACUAUGUGACUAGUAUUUCUUGGAAAUCUUUGAUACAUGAUUUUAAUUAAUAGAAACAAAAGUUUUUGGCUUUUUCCUAAAAACUGAAACGCGAUAUCGACGUAAAGGCUCAAUAGUAAAUUUAUAAAUUCCUAUUCCCUACUGAGAACUAGUGGUUUGUUCUCACCCCAAAAUCUUCCACCCUUUUAGUGACACAGGUUCGGAGACUCAGUUUGAGAAGCCGCGGACGAUUAAGAGUUUUAUUUAAGUUAAAUUUAUGUGUUGAGUUGCUUUCAUAGAAUUCUCUCGCCCUUGUUAUUUAAGAUUUUAUUUUAUGCAGAGGGAUAGGAGUUAUAACUGAAUUUUAUUUGAAUUCUUCUGCAUGAUAUUUAUUAUUAUUAAUAACUAUGUGACUAGUAUUU
Molecule: long non-coding RNA, 2482 nt
Filed under: Arachis ipaensis
Lineage: Eukaryota; Viridiplantae; Streptophyta; Magnoliopsida; Fabales; Fabaceae
Description: long non-coding RNA (AIPA_LNC001932)
Source: RNAcentral